CGCGCGGCGCGGCUCCCUMCAGCCCGGCCACAGCGCGGCCUGCCCAGCGGCGAGCAGGGCGACCCGCCGGCCGCGCGCCCCCGCCUUCUCCGGGUGGCAGGGGAGCGUGCGCGUGGGCUCUUCGUCCACUCGCAGUGGUCCCCGCUGACUCCGGCCCAACCCAGCCCAGCCCAGCCCGGCCUCACCCUCCUCCCSGCGCCCCUGCCCUCCCGCCUCCCAGCAAGUUCAGGAAAAAGAGUCCUGAUCGCUCCCUCCUUGGCUCCGCAGCUCGCUCCCUGCCAGCCCACCCCGGACACUCGCGGCCCGCCUGGGGAUCGGGACAGAUCGACUCACCCUCGCGCCACCGCUGCCUGCCUGCGGCCCCGGGGACCGAAAGUGAAAGUGGAGUCCCGGCAGCUGCGGGCGGGAGUGGAGGGACGCGACGGAUCCCUUGCCUGAAGCWAGACCUGACGAAGGGCAAACCUGGGAGUAGGGUCUGGCCACGGAGGCCAUCGUCUCUCCCCAGGGACGAAAUCUGUCAAUGAUUACUCCUUAUGGAAGCAUGCACUUGGAGUACACAGAAGGUAGCUGGUGUUUCAGGAAGGGACCAAAUAAGGGACCCAGGCUCGCUGUCCCCCAAGGCUGGAAGGGCUUGACGCCCAUUGGAAUCAGAGGGUGUCGAUCACCUCGCCUCUGCGAAUGGGCUGAGAGCUCGUGGCCCGCCUCAGAAACAGGAACUGCAAAAUACUCUGUAGUUGACAAACUGUGUGGUGGGAUUAUUUUCAGCGUAGAGUGGCUAAAUUAGGACAUGCUGCAUUAGCAGAGGGAGGGUUGUAGCAGGCCUCCAGAAUUUCCCUACUACGACCAAGGGGCACCGUACCCCUGAGGACUGGCUACUUCUCAAAUUAAAAUGUUCCCGCUCUUUUAUCAAGGACAACGACGAUUUCUUCGCUCUCCUUAGAACCUUAAAAAUUAGAAAAGGCUGUAUUUAAACAGUUGAGGUCACAAGCUAAGAAAACGAGCAUUCAAAUUACCAAAAGCUCCAAGUUGGUGAGUGGACGGUGGUCCCUGUGGUAGCAGCCCCCUUGAGUAUUGUUCUCAGGCUUUCACGUCCAGCCUCCUUCUUAGACUGAUCUUUCCUUUGAGAACUGAGGUUCUAAAUCACUGGAACAAUAUUUGUCAACAUUUUUAUUUUUCAAUCUUACGUCUUCUUUUGAAAAAUAUAUUUAGUUCCGUACAUUCUUCUCAGGACAUUUUGUAAUAURAAAAUUAACAUUCGGUUCUAGACUCAAUCAGGAUAGGAUCAAAACAAGGGGAGUAAGUUUGUUUGUUUGUUUUCAUUAAAAUUCAACAAGUAAUGGGGACUUUUGGAUCAGUUGGUUUCUGCACGUUCAGAACAUGGCAGGAGGUGUCAACUCUGAAUCACUGUCCUCUAAGGUCUACAGCCAUCUCUUGAUUGCUCCAGUUUGUCAGGAUAGAUUUCUUGUUCAAACCCCAUGCAUUUAUUUACCUGUAUAUUUAUGUUUUUGAAUUUGAUGSUUUCAGUUUUGUUUCUAGUAAAGCUUCUUUAAAAAAUAUUUCUUGAAGGUCAGGAGCGAAUGAUCCAAACAGACUGAUGCAGAAGACAACCGAAAAGGCAGGAAGAGGUCAGGGCCUGCACAUAAAUCUGGAA
Urocitellus parryii (Arctic ground squirrel) is the source of this 1651-nucleotide long non-coding RNA. The record is from Ensembl. NCBI's taxonomy places the organism in Eukaryota, Metazoa, Chordata, Mammalia, Rodentia, Sciuridae.